GCGCCCGUGGCCUAAUGGAUAAGGCGUUUGACUUCUAAUCAAACGAUUGUGGGUUCGCGUACCACCGGGCGUG
This is a transfer RNA of Brassica oleracea var. oleracea, 73 nucleotides long. It matches the Rfam family "tRNA". Rfam says of the family: Transfer RNA (tRNA) molecules are approximately 80 nucleotides in length. Their secondary structure includes four short double-helical elements and three loops (D, anti-codon, and T loops). Further hydrogen bonds mediate the characteristic L-shaped molecular structure. tRNAs have two regions of fundamental functional importance: the anti-codon, which is responsible for specific mRNA codon recognition, and the 3' end, to which the tRNAs corresponding amino acid is attached (by aminoacyl-tRNA synthetases). tRNAs cope with the degeneracy of the genetic code in two manners: having more than one tRNA (with a specific anti-codon) for a particular amino acid; and 'wobble' base-pairing, i.e. permitting non-standard base-pairing at the 3rd anti-codon position. NCBI's taxonomy places the organism in Eukaryota, Viridiplantae, Streptophyta, Magnoliopsida, Brassicales, Brassicaceae. The record is from Rfam.